UUCACUGCAUCUUAUAUUUUGCAGCGCACUCCUCUCGCCCCUCGCACACACACUCCCUUCUCUUGCAAAAGCAGGCGUAGUUAUUUCUCCACACCCUCGCCUUGCAGCGCACCCAAGAGAACGCGCUGCAGUCUGAAGCUAAAAUCCGCACACAUCAGGACGCGGCAGUCAGCUACACUGAAUGCGGAUGGGAACUCGGUCUCACUGUUUCCGAGUGUUUUCAUGCAUAACUUCCAGUGCCUCUGGAUAGGAACGUUUUGCGAUGCCACGCCUUCAACUUCACCUUCUCUUGCUUAUCACCUUCUCUCAGUCAUGUUCUGCCCCCCUGCGCUUCUGUAGCUUCGCCCAUAGUUUCGAAAUCACCAGCUACCCCUUUGCCAAGUGCUGCCAAUGAUAGCAUGGCAAACGGCAACGAAUCUCUUAUGUCUUGGCAGGAUCCCGCAACUGCCGUUGGCUUGAAGAAUUUCGACUCGGAGGCACGGUCACUGGAUGCGGAGCCGUUGUCAAGGAUGAAUAAACAACGAUGGAAGCCGUUUGUUGUGGUAACUAUCGCUUGUUUCGUGGCUGCCAUCCUCAUUGUUUGGGAUUUUCGCGGUGCUACAAAGACUUGCGAAGAAACGGAUGUGAUACCUCCAAAGAACAUCACCUUAGUUGAAACCUCACCGUCAAAGGCUCGACUUGCAUGGACGCCGUCCAAUACAGCCUGGGAGGGCCAAAUCGUAUACUGCGUGAAAGUUUGCGUGGCCUAUGACUCAUGCACCGCCGGAUCGAGUGGCCGGCAUUGAACGACACAUCAAACACCGUAUUCAUGGCUCGACUUUGACAGCAACGUCGGCACCACGUACUGCGUACAGGUGACCGCUUGUGCACUGUGUCGUGACAAGGUGGUAAGCAGCCAGCCUGCCUUCAAAGAAAUCGAGACACCUUUGUAUGGUCGGCCCGCCAUACCACUAUCUUCGGGAUCAGCCCACGUACGGGAGUUUCAUGUCUACACACGGAUACGAUCCUGGGGGAACUAGCCUUUAACAGCUUCCCUGUAAAAUUGGUUACGUCAUUGUCUUCCUAAUCAAUUAAUUCCUUAACAGCGAUGAUGAACGCGGGAUCAUUGGUACGAGCGCGUUCACGCAGUAACACCAAGGGUUGCCAAUGAGCCAGCUGUGGAAGAAGGACGAUGACGCUCUAGCCAAUCGAGAUGAUGAUAUUUUUUGUGGUAACAUACGGAGAGUAUCCUGGGGAAAGCAGCCCCUAAUAGCUUCGCUUUAAAACUGACGAAGAUGACCUUGCGUUUUGUGGUGAAGGUGACCAUGGUGACGACCUGCCUGCAGUUUCCUCAAUCUUAUCCCUGUUCGUUUGUAGUCAUGGCGUGAAUCGCUCCAGCGGAAGUAUACGUCUAAAGUAAUGGACGCACCGCGCACUUCGAUGCCGAAAUCCCAAGCCCCCAUAGUCAUGGAAGGCUAUCACUGAAGUCUUGAAUUACUGAGGGAAACAAAUUUUGCAUGGCGUGGUCUGGAAACGUCCAGGUCAAAAAACAAAA
Non-coding RNA from Dermacentor albipictus, 1534 nucleotides. Lineage: Eukaryota; Metazoa; Arthropoda; Arachnida; Ixodida; Ixodidae. The record is from RefSeq and is a predicted model, not a curated record.